GGGGCCGUAGUUCAGCUGGGAGAACGCUUGACUGGCAGUCAAGAGGUCGGGGGUUCGAUCCCCCCCGGCUCCA
This 73-nucleotide transfer RNA is filed under the name candidate division WOR-1 bacterium RIFCSPHIGHO2_01_FULL_53_15. RNAcentral describes it as "tRNA-Ala". It matches the Rfam family "tRNA". Rfam says of the family: Transfer RNA (tRNA) molecules are approximately 80 nucleotides in length. Their secondary structure includes four short double-helical elements and three loops (D, anti-codon, and T loops). Further hydrogen bonds mediate the characteristic L-shaped molecular structure. tRNAs have two regions of fundamental functional importance: the anti-codon, which is responsible for specific mRNA codon recognition, and the 3' end, to which the tRNAs corresponding amino acid is attached (by aminoacyl-tRNA synthetases). tRNAs cope with the degeneracy of the genetic code in two manners: having more than one tRNA (with a specific anti-codon) for a particular amino acid; and 'wobble' base-pairing, i.e. permitting non-standard base-pairing at the 3rd anti-codon position. Lineage: Bacteria; Bacillati. RNAcentral also lists the same sequence under 1 other name. The record is from RNAcentral.